Phascolarctos cinereus (koala) is the source of this 1016-nucleotide non-coding RNA. NCBI's taxonomy places the organism in Eukaryota, Metazoa, Chordata, Mammalia, Diprotodontia, Phascolarctidae. The record is from RefSeq and is a predicted model, not a curated record.
UCUUCUUGUUGGCUGCGGAGGCACAGCCCAAAGGGGGCCCUCUUUUUCAUCUGAUUCUUCAGAAUAGGCCUGCACAGGCUGGCAUGUAGAGGUCACUUGGGAUCACUCUGACCUUUUUUUCUUGUUGUUCUCUUUUAGGUAGUGCCAUUUCCGCUGUAGCAAGGGCAGGAAAGCAAGCUACAGAGCAGGGCCGGCAGCGGGAGUUCGAGCUGCAGCGGCAGAGAGGUGAGCAGAAAAUCCAGCAGCUGCAGCACAUGAUCACUCAGCUGAGAAGGACAAGGGCUGUGACCCCAGAGCCUGGCAGGAGCAUGGUGCUGGGGAAGCUCUUCUCCCUGCCCUGGAGAAGCUUCAGGGGCAUCACAGUCAGCUGGAGAACUUGAGGCAGCAGCUGCUGCAUGUGGCUGGGCUUCUGAGCAGCUUCAUGAACCAAACCCUGAACAGAACAAUCAAUGACUGGACAUCAUCAGAUGAAAAGGCUGCAAUGUCCUUGCUGUUUACUCUGGAGGAAUUGAAAUCAGAAUUGAUGUCAGGCCUCACUCAAUACAAAUCUAUGGACCACAUUGGCCCGUUGCCAAAAGCUGAGAAAGCUGUUUGGAGACAAGAGAAAAUGGCUUCACAAGGCAUGAGGCACAGCAAGUCAGGGAUGGUGAAAGCUGCCUUCAAAAGUGAAACCAGCCAAGGAGGGAGCACAUCUCCCUACAGGAUGGAAAAGUCAUAUCUGCAUUUCCUACCAGCAGAGAGCUCCCUGAAGGCCCUGAUUUAUCAAAACAGCCAGAGAAAAAGUUUAUUAGUGAUAAAUCCUAUAGGCCAAGUGACACCCCUAAGGAGGAGCAAGCAGGAGAAAAGCUCAGUUUUUGAAGCAUGAGAGAUUCUCAGCAUGUGAAUGGGGGCCAGCCUGGAUCUCAUAUACAUUAAGAUGGUGUACCCAGGUUCCUGGCCUUGAAAUGACCCCGCGGACCGUGAGCCAGAGAGCAUCAGGCUGAAUGUGAGACAGCCUCAUAACUGUCUGCCAAAAA